CUCCAGUUUUUCAGUAGCAGACACAUGAGGGUUUACCAGGACCCUAGACGCAGGCCAUCUAGACACAAGGAGGGAGGACAAUAGCCAAUCCCAUGCCUGCUCUUGGAGGAAUUCUUUAGGCCACGCUCUCCCACCCCUUUGUUUUGGUCACAGACCUACCUGUCCCAUCUCCUCUCCCCUUCCAAGGUAAACUUCCCUUUCGGCUCCCUUGCAAACUAAAGCCUUAACGGAGGUUGGCAAGGGUUUCUAUCCUGAGCCCAAAGUUUUGCCUCCUGCGAGGCAAAACCUUUGGGCCCAAGAGUAAAUACACAACAGCAGUGUGAGGACUUUGCUCCCAGGAUGAGCCUCCUGCCACUUCCCCACCCAGGACAGUCAAUUUGGACACAUGAGACAAACUAUGGAUUCCAAGAGCUUCUGUUCACACUCUGUUUAACCUUGGCCUGCUCCGCAGAGCAGGUGCACAAUCGAGCCCAAACUCAUGUCACUUACCAAACCAAUAAAGCCAAACCAAAGUCUUUGGUACUAAAGAUGAGAAUUGUGUUUCGAUUCAAGUCCAAAAUACAUUCCAGCUCCCCCCAAACCACAAGUACAGAAAACACAGAACACGUGUCUGUUGUAUUCUUCAGACGGUCUCCCUUCAGCAAAGGGAAUGAUAGGUCCCCCUUCCAACGAUACCAUUUGGAAAUCUAACCAGUUAAAGUUCCAGGAUAUCAAAGUACUCGCCCAGGACCUUGACACUGACCUUCACCGGCUGGGUGGUUCAGCAUCAGUUUGCACGACUAUUAGACACUCCCUACGGUGAGCUGAGCCCCCAUUCCUGUCCACCAGGCUGCAGACCAUUGAGGACACGUUUUAUUUGAAGUUACUACACAUUCCACUAAGUGACCUCAAUUAUUCAAAGCAAAUAAUGAACAGCAAAUCUAGGCCUCAAUCUGUAAGAAGAUGAUACAUCCUACUUCAUUAUCAAGAUAACUUGUUUACAGAAAAGAUAAAGGUCGAAAAACAUAAGAUAGCAAUACAAAUUAAAGAGUUUUAGAACUCAAACCUUUAUUUGUGCUGUAAAGAAAAUGAUUAGUAAUCAUGUACACGAUGCAACAGAAGACUAGUUCUCAGCACAGAGCAACACAGAAGUACUUUACGCAGUGUAACAGCUUCCAUUUCACAACAGCAUACACAAACACAUUUCCCCAUAUGCGCAUGACUAAUAAAUUCUGAGGACAGGAAUUACAUCAUACCCAAGUCAUGAUGAAAAGCUGAACGAUACCAACAUAUUUUUAAACAUUAAAAAAGAACCCAUAAGACAAAAAUCCCAGAAGCAAAAGGUAUUGGGGAUUUUAAAUUUUUAGUGAAAUCUAAGGUUAGAGGCACAGGAGAAAGAGCUACUGGUAUUACUUUACCAACUCCCUGGAUGCAUCUCAGAAACACGUAAUCAUAAAUGGUUUUCUUGUCUUUCCCUGAAUUUUUAAAAACAGACCACAUCUAGCAAAGGCUCCCCGCUCCCCCCCGCCACCAUUUUGCCUGUUCCCCAAACUGAUUUUGGCUGAGAGUUGCUCCAGUGCUGGAUCAAUCUGAAAAGCACAAAUGUUCAAACUAAAGAUAGAAUCGAUUCACUCAACCUUUGCAAGGCUACAUGGAUUGUUUGCUAUUAUAUAUCACAGUAAUUUUACAGUGACCAUAAAAAGGUUAUUCUGUUACAAAAACUAAUAGCAAAAAUUUUUACUGCUAUUAAUACGGACCACAAAGGCAAGAGAUGUGUUUGAGACAUAAAAUUCCUAUCAUUGCACGUUCACUUUGCUCAGAAUUUUCAACCACAACAUCUCAGUAAAUAGAAAUGUUCCAAACCCCAAAGAGUACAUCUAAUCUCAAGUGCACACCACAAUUUUAAACUUCAAUACUUUAAAAGCUCACAAUUUGCACAUUUAAAGUCCUUUCUAAGACUUACAGCUCCCCAACACCCGCACACCUUCAUAUAAACCACUGAAAAAGCUCACGGAGCAGCAAAGGCUAGUGAGCACUCUGCCGACGGGGACUCCUGCCACCCAGCUUUCAUGGGACUUGUACUCAUGUUCAGUUGUCCUCCCUCUUUCCCACCUUGCAGCAAGGCAAAACAAUUUUAGCUUCUUUCUAAAGUUUUGAAGCAAUCUUUUGUGCUUUCGAAGCACAAUGUAACUAGCACUAACAAUUUAGUAGCGUUAACUAGUACCUUCUUCCCCUGUGAGUCGAUUACCUUCCCCAGAAUUUUACCCUUUUUGUCGGAAUUCCCUUCCAACCCCCAUUCCCUACCACCCCUACCCUCUGCAACGUAUACGGUAUCAACCCAACCCUCUCCCUUUCCUCACCCCCACCCCUCCCAGUACCAAUGCCAACGUGUACCACUCCAACUGUCACCCCUGCCAGAACCGAUGCCAAGGUGUGCCCCCCCCCCAACCCUCACACCUCAGUUGGGUCCUCCCAUUUGAAGUUUACUUUCAAAUUAAAUCAAGCAAAAUCCACAUUAACAAAUACAUAGAAGCAUCAAAGAUCACUGGUAGUCCCCCAACCAUUUCCCUCACUUAGUCAUCUGUGAUGCAGUCAGAAUGCCCAAAGACCUGCCAUUUCUAACAGAAUUUGGCCACAACCAACUUGUACCCACCCCUGGACUGUAGCAUAACACGACNNNNNNNNNNNNNNNNNNNNNNNNNNNNNNNNNNNNNNACCCCCUUCAGUUUGCCAGUAGGCUUCAUUGAAGUAUUUGCUCAAGGCAUUUCAAAUGUGAACACUUUCCCCAGACACAGGUUAGACCAUCACACUAAUUCCUCCAACCAACGUGCAGGCAGGCAGGCGCGUGGGUAGGUGAACGAGUCACUGGGCUCCAUCUGCAAGAUUCAUCUACAAGGCAUGACUCUGCGUUGUGGCACGUUAGAACGUCCUACAGCUUAAGAAUCUUCUUGAAGCCAUGUUCGUAGCACAGAACUAGCAAAGACCGAAGGCUCAAUUUAGAAGACGCAGCAUCUGAAAACCUCCGCCCCAGAGAAGGAGGGGUGCCUGGGGGUUGGUUGGUGCUCCGGGAUCAAACAUUCAAAGCAACAGAUCUGCUGAUGGCCCGAUGCAUCUGCUUUGGACUUUGAAUGAUUGCCCCCUCAUGAGCUCAUCUGAAAACCUUAAAUGGUGGCUGCCUGAAUACAGGGCUUCCUGAGCAAGGCCUGGAAACAGGACACUGGAGAAACUUCCACCUCCUAAGCCUCUGGAAAUUCAAUCUGCAGACAUCAACUUAGGCGGGCUCUCUCCUUCAGGGUCUCCCCUCCUGCACUGCUACGACUCACACUGGCCAUGGGCUCCAUUUCUCCUGGUGCCAUCUGAUCACCACGAUGAACACUAUAGUAACAAACCAUGGUCCAUGAGGCAUUUCGUAACUUUCAGCUGGUGCCGUCGCUGCAGGCCCACCCAAGGGUACACAUUCAGUCCCCACCCUCUCCGCAGGCAAGCAAGACCACCCCACCCCACCCCGAGUCUCAGCAGGGCGUGCCUCUCCUCCUCCACGAUUACCGACAUAACCGAACUUCUCAAGGCCGUUGCCAACUUUCCCAGGCUUACCAGGUUACCAGAAGCAAUGUUUUAAACGAAUGGAUAACCUCAAGAGAGUUAAAGGGAGGAGGAAGGGCAGAGUGAGCUCACAGAAGAAGUUAGCACGGAACCUAGAGGAAAAGUCCAAAGGGGAGCACUGCCACCUGGAAAAUAAAGCUUGGGUCAAUUUUGUCCCCACACACACAAAUAUCCUGCCUCAGCAGCCCCAGCCUGUCAGGCGUCAGGCGCCACACCAGUAACCGCUUUGAUGGCACCCUACCUCGCACCCUACCUCACUCACUCCUGAGACCACCCUUACCUCCGACAAAGGGUCUGACCUCACACCCAGGACUGGUGUGUGACCCAGGACUGGGGUUCACCAGGCUGGGCAUGGCCUGGACCCUGUCCCAGGCCGAACCAAAAUUACAUACCACCCUGGGCCAGAGCUGUCAGGCCCGCGAAGCUAAGUUCAGUAUCCACAAGACCAGGCCUCAUCCCCACGCGGGUUCACAACCCUCUGAAAAAAAAGGGGGCUGCUGACAUUGACGAGUUCGAGGUCUGCCCUCCCAGCCCUCCUGGGGCCCUGCACCCCACUGCCUUCCUUCCUGAUCAUGCUCAGGGAGCCAAAUGCCCAAUUCCGCUUCCUCUCCAGUAAGGGCGUUGAGAUCCUGUUCUCCUCCUGCUUCUAACUUCUCUCCUCCUCCCACACAAACCAGGGCACGGGGCUCGCUCGGCCCACGCAGGAGCGGUGCCCUCCUAGAGGCCAAGUUCCCGUUCUCCAGAAGGAAGCGACAGCCAGGGCUAAAGGGCUGUCCUCCCCUGGGUCACUGCGGGGACCUUCAACGCAGCUCUCCCCACCAUACGUUCCCCAAGAUCUCGUUUCCUCUUUAACCUUUCUUAGUCUCACACCCCAACCCCCUCGAGUCUCAUCUAAGCCUGUCAUCUCCCCCAUCUGCCC
RNAcentral lists this long non-coding RNA (4501 nucleotides) under Lynx pardinus (Iberian lynx). Lineage: Eukaryota; Metazoa; Chordata; Mammalia; Carnivora; Felidae. The record is from RNAcentral.